GAUGAACGCUAGCGGCAGGCCUAAUACAUGCAAGUCGAGGGGUAACAUGGGGUAGCAAUACUUUGAUGACGACCGGCGCACGGGUGCGUAACACGUAUGUAAUCUACCCUUAUCAGGGGGAUAGCCCGGAGAAAUCCGGAUUAACCCCCCAUAAUACUGUUGGUUGGCAUCGGCCGGCAGUUAAAAUUCCGAUGGAUAAGGAUGAGCAUGCGACUGAUUAGCUAGUUGGCGGGGUAAAGGCCCACCAAGGCGACGAUCAGUAGGGGUACUGAGAGGU
RNAcentral lists this ribosomal RNA (277 nucleotides) under uncultured bacterium. RNAcentral's name for it is "partial 16S ribosomal RNA". It matches the Rfam family "Bacterial small subunit ribosomal RNA", at positions 28 to 300 of the family's 1533-position model. The record is from RNAcentral.